Molecule: long non-coding RNA, 203 nt
Organism: Euleptes europaea (tarantolino)
Lineage: Eukaryota; Metazoa; Chordata; Lepidosauria; Squamata; Sphaerodactylidae
Exons: 3
Source: RefSeq, a predicted model, not a curated record
GCCGCGGCAGCUUUUAUCUUCUUCAGGAAGCAAAGAAUGCGAGAAAGGUCUUCAAGUACAUCAUCAACUAGUUAUCUAACGUAUCAGAAAGACAGAGAGAUGGAAGAGAGCAUUUUAGAAAAUGAAACCUGUAUCAAUGGCGCUUAUGAACCGGAGCAGGAACUGAGAACUCCUUUGACAACCGAAAAAGGCACAGAUGUAUA